RNAcentral lists this ribosomal RNA (645 nucleotides) under uncultured bacterium. Its description in RNAcentral is "bacterial SSU rRNA". It matches the Rfam family "Bacterial small subunit ribosomal RNA", at positions 60 to 690 of the family's 1533-position model. The record is from RNAcentral.
AGUCGAACGGCAGCAUGCGUAACCACUUGUGGUUAUGUGAUGGCGAGUGGCGGACGGGUGAGUAACGCGUAGGGAUCUGCCCUUUAGUGGGGGACAACUCGAGGAAACUCGAGCUAAUACCGCAUGACCUCUAAGGAGGAAAGCUGCCUGGGAAACCAGGUGGCGCUAGAGGAGGAGCCUGCGUCCGAUUAGCUAGUUGGUGGGGUAAAGGCCUACCAAGGCGACGAUCGGUAGCUGGUCUGAGAGGACGAGCAGCCACACUGGGACUGAGACACGGCCCAGACUCCUACGGGAGGCAGCAGUGGGGAAUAUUGGACAAUGGGGGAAACCCUGAUCCAGCAAUGCCGCGUGUGUGAAGAAGGCUUUCGGGUUGUAAAGCACUUUCAGUGGGGAGGAAGGGCUCUGUUUUAAUAGAGCAGAGAGGAGACGUUACCCACAGAAGAAGCACCGGCUAACUCUGUGCCAGCAGCCGCGGUAAGACAGAGGGUGCGAGCGUUAAUCGGAAUUACUGGGCGUAAAGGGCACGUAGGUGGUUAGAUAAGUUAUAGGUGAAAGCCCUGGGCUCAACCGAGGGAUUGCCUAUAAAACUGUGUGACUAGAGUAUGGUAGAGGGUAGUGGAAUUUCCGGUGUAGCGGUGAAAUGCG